UGCAGUCGAGGGGUAACAGGGAAGCUUGCUUCCGCUGACGACCGGCGCGCGGGUGCGUAACGCGUAUGCAACCUACCUCUUACAGGGGAAUAGCCCGAAGAAAUUCGGAUUAAUACCCCAUGGUAUUACAGAUUCGCAUGAUGAAGUAAUUAAAGAUUUAUCGGUAAGAGAUGGGCAUGCGUCUGAUUAGAUUGUUGGUGAGGUAACGGCUCACCAAGUCGACGAUCAGUAGGGGUUCUGAGAGGAAGAUCCCCCACACUGGCACUGAGAUACGGGCCAGACUCCUACGGGAGGCAGCAGUAGGGAAUAUUGGUCAAUGGAGGCAACUCUGAACCAGCCAUGCCGCGUGUAGGAAGAAUGCCUUCUGGGUUGUAAACUACUUUUAUAUAGGAAGAAAACGCCAUGCGUGGUAAUAUGACGGUACUAUAUGAAUAAGCACCGGCUAACUCCGUGCCAGCAGCCGCGGUAAUACGGAGGGUGCAAGCGUUGUCCGGAUUUAUUGGGUUUAAAGGGUGCGUAGGCGGUUUAUUAAGUCGGAGUUGAAAUCCCACAGCUUAACUGUGGAACUGGCUCCGAUACUGGUUAACUUGAGUAUGGUUGAGGUAGGCGGAAUUUAAGAUGUAGCGGUGAAAUGCAUAGAUAUCUUAAAGAACACCAAUUGCGUAGGCAGCUUACUGGACCAUAACUGACGCUGAGGCACGAAAGCGUGGGUAGCGAACAGGAUUAGAUACCCUGGUAGUCCACGCCGUAAACGAUGAUUACUCGAUGUCUGCGAUACACUGUAGGCGUCCAAGCGAAAGCA
RNAcentral lists this ribosomal RNA (802 nucleotides) under uncultured marine bacterium. Its description in RNAcentral is "bacterial SSU rRNA". It matches the Rfam family "Bacterial small subunit ribosomal RNA", at positions 56 to 859 of the family's 1533-position model. The record is from RNAcentral.